Molecule: ribosomal RNA, 301 nt
Filed under: uncultured bacterium
Lineage: Bacteria
Description: partial 16S ribosomal RNA
Rfam family: Bacterial small subunit ribosomal RNA
Source: RNAcentral
CAGUAGCCACGGUAAUACGGAGGGUGCAAGCGUUAUCCGGAUUUAUUGGGUUUAAAGGGUCCGUAGGCGGACUUAUAAGUCAGUGGUGAAAGCCUGUCGCUUAACGAUAGAACUGCCAUUGAUACUGUAAGUCUUGAGUAUAUUUGAGGUAGCUGGAAUAAGUAGUGUAGCGGUGAAAUGCAUAGAUAUUACUUAGAACACCAAUUGCGAAGGCAGGUUACCAAGAUAUAACUGACGCUGAGGGACGAAAGCGUGGGUAGCGAACAGGAUUAGAUACCCCAGUAGUCCCUGUCUCUUAUAA